CCCAGGUUCAAGUGAUCCUCCUGCCUCAGCCUCCUGAGUAGCUGGGAUUACAGAGAAAGGCAGAGGGAGAUUUGAAACACAGAGGAGAAGGUGAUGAGAAGACACAGCAGAAGGUAUCUGAAGACUGGAAAAGAAUGCUGCAACCAACAGGAGAAGGAAAAGACAGAAAUGCGUUUUCCAUUUGGAGCAUCCAGAGGGAGCACAGCCGUAUCAACACCUUGAUUUCGAUCCAGUGACAUUGAUUUUGGACUUGUAGCCUCUGUAACUUUUAGAGAAUAAAUUUGCAUUGUUUUAAGCCA
Macaca mulatta (Rhesus monkey) is the source of this 299-nucleotide non-coding RNA. Lineage: Eukaryota; Metazoa; Chordata; Mammalia; Primates; Cercopithecidae. The record is from RefSeq and is a predicted model, not a curated record.